Molecule: transfer RNA, 71 nt
Filed under: Loxodonta africana (African savanna elephant)
Lineage: Eukaryota; Metazoa; Chordata; Mammalia; Proboscidea; Elephantidae
Rfam family: tRNA
About the family: Transfer RNA (tRNA) molecules are approximately 80 nucleotides in length. Their secondary structure includes four short double-helical elements and three loops (D, anti-codon, and T loops).
Source: Rfam by way of RNAcentral
ACAUUGGUGGCUCAGUGGUAGAAUUCCUGCUUUCCGUGCAGGAGACCCAGGUUCAGUUCCCAGCCAAUGCA